GCUCCAACAGGUCCGUGUCUCUCCAGUACUGAGGACUCCACUUCUGGACACAGUACUCCAGAGACCCAAUUGUGUGGGAGGGGACGACACAACCCAGCAGCAGGGCUCGCGGGAAAGCUGUGGUGUGCCCCAAGUGCAAGAGUAUCUGUGCUGGCUGCAUGUGCACAAAGGGCUGCAUUUGCAUAAAACCAGCGCCAAGCCGGAGUGAAAACAAUGGGAGAGUGUGUAGGUAGGCACCUACCCAGCACCCGGGUCUGCCUGCUGGAGAGGGUUUGGUUUCACGGCAGGAGCACAAAUAAAGAACGACGCUAAAUAAUUAAAGCUUGGCAUUGUGAGCUGAGUAUUGUUAAUGGGAGGGUGUUUUUUAGUGCAUAAUGAGCAAAGCCUAUUUUGCAAAAAUUUUAGACGUUUUCCUAAGUGAAAACAGAAGAUCUCUGAGCAUUUGCAAAACUUACGUUACCCCAGAAAAAAAAAUACAUAACGACGCCGAGCCCAUCGGCUUA
This is a long non-coding RNA of Numida meleagris (helmeted guineafowl), 503 nucleotides long. RefSeq lists it as uncharacterized. The transcript is spliced from 2 exons. The record is from RefSeq and is a predicted model, not a curated record. NCBI's taxonomy places the organism in Eukaryota, Metazoa, Chordata, Aves, Galliformes, Numididae.